UCUGUGAAUAUUUUCCACUGACUAACCCAGAGGACCCCAAACCCGGAGCCGAGGGCAGGCGCUACCUGCCUGCUGCCGGCGGGGUCGGGAGAGACGAACCCGGGAGCGGCGCUCACCGGGGAGCCGCGCCUCCUGCCCCGGACUGAUACCUGAAAUAAUUAGAAGGAGCAAGUCAUGGUGCUCACAGCCUCCUACCUGCUGUUCUGCAAAUGGGACUUCACCACACUGAGCUGCUUCCCAGUGCAGGAAAUCUCACUGACCACCGUCGGCCACUUCACCAUCCCAGAGAAAACUGGAGAAGUAGUGCGAGUGAAUUCUCUCCAGAUAAAACUGCUGUCAGGACGGGACCUGCAGGUCACUGUUUCAGUUAGUAGAGCUCCAUUCAGUUAAUUCCCAGCCAGUGCUGAGAUCCAUCACCUUUCAUUGUCAUGGAAAAACGUUCAUAAAGAGCUACAAAAGGAGCUGCUAGAGGAAGUCCCUUCUCCAGCACUGGCAGAGCUGCUGUACGUUCUCAUGUCCUGAGCAGUCAAUUCACGUCAUCG
This is a long non-coding RNA of Chroicocephalus ridibundus (black-headed gull), 542 nucleotides long. RefSeq lists it as uncharacterized. Lineage: Eukaryota; Metazoa; Chordata; Aves; Charadriiformes; Laridae. The transcript has 4 exons. The record is from RefSeq and is a predicted model, not a curated record.